CCUACGGGGAGCAGCAGUGGGGAAUAUUGGACAAUGGGCGAAAGCCUGAUCCAGCCAUGCCGCGUGUGUGAAGAAGGCCUUCGGGUUGUAAAGCACUUUCAGUGGGGAAGAAAGCCUUGGGGCUAAUACCCUCGAGGAAGGACAUCACCCACAGAAGAAGCACCGGCUAACUCCGUGCCAGCAGCCGCGGUAAUACGGAGGGUGCGAGCGUUAAUCGGAAUUACUGGGCGCAAAGCGCGCGUAGGCGGUCUGAUAAGCCGGUUGUGAAAGCCCCGGGCUCAACCUGGGAACGGCAUCCGGAACUGUCAGGCUAGAGUGCAGGAGAGGAAGGUAGAAUUCCCGGUGUAGCGGUGAAAUGCGUAGAGAUCGGGAGGAAUACCAGUGGCGAAGGCGGCCUUCUGGACUGACACUGACGCUGAGGUGCGAAAGCGUGGGUAGCAAACAGGAUUAGAUACCCCAGUAGUC
RNAcentral lists this ribosomal RNA (465 nucleotides) under Vreelandella stevensii. RNAcentral describes it as "partial 16S ribosomal RNA". It matches the Rfam family "Bacterial small subunit ribosomal RNA", at positions 338 to 795 of the family's 1533-position model. The record is from RNAcentral. Lineage: Bacteria; Pseudomonadati; Pseudomonadota; Gammaproteobacteria; Oceanospirillales; Halomonadaceae.